UGGCAUCUAGGGACUAGGAUUUUAUUU
This 27-nucleotide non-coding RNA is filed under the name Cricetulus griseus (Chinese hamster). Lineage: Eukaryota; Metazoa; Chordata; Mammalia; Rodentia; Cricetidae. The record is from RNAcentral.